This is a non-coding RNA of Rhopilema esculentum, 3383 nucleotides long. The record is from RefSeq and is a predicted model, not a curated record. NCBI's taxonomy places the organism in Eukaryota, Metazoa, Cnidaria, Scyphozoa, Rhizostomeae, Rhizostomatidae.
UAUUGGCAUUGCUGAAAAGAUAUAAUAGUGACGAAGUUGUUCUAAAAAACAUCUAGAGAAACAAGGAAGGUACUAAGAGCGCUUUGAGGCUAAAUCAACACCAUGACAUCUCUAGGUGACAAUAUUUGCUGUUCUUUGAAGAGACCCGUUAUUUUUGGUAUUUUCUUAAAUUUCGUAUAUUCUUUUGUAUACGUAAUUUUUCGUCUUCUCCUCAAAAUCAAUUGUUAAUAUUCAGUUUAGGAUGCGAGUUCAACUGAUGUAUUUAAUUUAGCGGGUUACCGAAUAAGUCUCCUAAUUCCCCGACUCCCGCUUAGUUUAUAGCCCGAUUUCUGACCCCUUCCCCAAUAUGUUUUUCGGGGAAGCAGACACCAACCAUUUUUGGAGCCAGGAAACGGGAAUCAGAGAAUUUUUGUGAGCGGUAUUCGAGAACUGAUAACACCAGGAUUCGAGAACUGAUGAUCAGGGGUCAGAAAUCGGGCUAAAAACUAAGCGGGAAUUGGGGAAUUAGGAGACUUAUUCUGUAACCCGCUAAAUUAAAUCCAUCAGUUGAAGUCUAAUUGUAAAUUGAAUGUUAACGGAUUGAUUUUGAGGAGAAGACGAAAAAUUACGUAUACAAAAGGAUAUAUUUAUGUCACGAUUCGAUAGCCAGACUAACAAAUGAACUGAUAACAGCAUUCUUUGUUCGAAAACCAGAUAAAGUGAAUUCAUGAAUAUCUGUAGCAUUGAAGGAACUCUUAGGCAUUCGAAAUGGUAUUUUUUAAUACAGCAUUCAGAAUGGUAUUUUUUUAUAAAGGGGAAGGUGAAGUCAAAACUGUUUCAGAACUAGGCUGUGGGGAGAAAGGCAGAUGUUAGCAAGCCACUCGAGCAAUAUGUUUGUAUGUAUUUUUCAGUUUUCUCCAAAGUAAUUUAACAUUGUUUAGAGGUAAUAAAUAGGUCAAGACAAUCUUUUGUAUUUACAAUGUUAAAUUAUACAAGUUAAAAACACUGAAAUUUACAGGCAGAGGUAGUAUUUAAAGGUCGGGUUGACCUUAUUUUAAUAGUAGUUGCAAAAAAAGACAGGAAAAAAACUGAAAUAAAGAUAAACAAUAUACUUGUUAAGAUUGUUUUAGAGGGAAGUUUUGUUCAACUGAAUUAUGUAUAUGCGAGAGAAAGCGUGGGAUUUUAAUACAGCACAUAUACGCCAUUUUGUUCUCUCUGUAUGUUUUGAAAGAUAUUUCCUUUGAUUUUUUGUACGAAACAGUUGUUUUUUGUGAAUUUUAAGCUAGAAGAAAGAUUAUUCCAUAUCGUCGGCCCCAAAUAAGACAAACAUAUUUGACCGUGGAAAGGUUUGAUUCUAAUUUUGACCUUAGCGUUACUCGGUUAUGCUCGACUUGAUGAAAUAUUUCGUUAGCACAGGCUGGCAGUUGCCACAUCGAAACACCUCCCAAGAUAUUUACCUUACCAGGAAUUAUGUGCAAGAAACGAAGAAAAUACAGUUGCUAAUUGUCGCUAGUAUCAGAGGAACUUUCAUAUGCUCUUCAAAUAUGCAGAAAUAUAGAGGGCUUGCUGUACUGUUCAAAGAACUCGUACACCUGUAGGAAAAUGAGGUAUACUUCCUUGUUUUGUGAAAACAAAAACAAAAUGGGGAAUAAGAAAAUGUAGAGCAAUGGUGCACGCACUCCAAACCUAAGCUUUAAGGAUCGGAAGCUUUAUUCAGUACAAGAUAUGAAUAUUACUAUAUGUAAAUGCAAGAAAAAGUGCACUUGAGUAACUUCAACACCUACAGAUGAAAACUUUAUAUGCAGCCUGUUUAUUGAUGCGUCAUCUUAAGCUAAAAAUCCAUAUGAUCAUGCUGCCAACUACAAUCUGCAUUUGCUUAGCAACUCAACUGAAGUGCCAGAUGUUGUUAUGGGAAAUAGGUAUCCUUCAGAAAGUAUUCAUUUGAAUAUAUUUUGAAUAGCUUUUCAUCUGCUUCUUUCUCGUAUUAAUUAUUUUUAUUAAUUCUUAUUUGAAAGCAUUAAAAAUUAAUAAAAUUUCUUUCGUUUGCACGAAAUAUUUGUUUGCAUCCUCCUGUCCAGUAACAAAAUUGCAAAUUUCAUAAAGAUGGAAUUUUCGCUUAGGAAACAAGCUUUUUUGCUUUGUUGACAAGCGAAGUAUUUAAAUGAGUGAGGAGAAGUAGCGCCGAACGUACUCAAAACUAAGGCAGUGGUUGCUUGGAGGGGGGCUCAAGGGGGCUUAGCCUCCUUGUUAAGAUUCAGAGAGAUUUAGGGGGGGCUCAGCCUCCUCUAACAAGUGAGUCCAUAUUCAGCUGGACAAAUUCUGUGUUGGUAACCCUUUACUUUUCCAUAAAUUUCUCAUGAAUGAACAAUUUCUUAUCAGCGUUUUUGUGUCAUUACAUAGUUUGAAUGAUUUCUAGAAACAACAGAGAGUCCUUAACACAAAAGCAAGUAAUUGGGUGUGGUAAGGGUAUGGUCGUGGGUGUGGCCUUUGAACUUGCCUACAGCCCAGCCCCCCUUCCUAACUUUUUAGGACGGCACCCCUGAACUGAGGUGCAUUUAUUCAACGAUAAUGUAUCAUUCCACUUACGGCUUUCUCCUUUGAGAGCCCUAAAAGACCCGUAAUUAGAUAUUGAAAUGUUUAAAUUUAUUUCUGUGUUGUUUCUGUUUAAAGCAACUUUCGACGAUCUUGAACUCAGGCUAGCAAAGGAGGUUCACCAAAAUAACAAGGAAAAAUGUAAUUUAAAAUGACCCGGGGAUGACGCAAUGAUAUGCCUGUGCCGAGUAUUUAAAGUGGUGUUACUUAAAAGAUUGACUUUAGUAAUGUUAGCGACGCUUUUGUCUUAAAACGCUCGUGGUACUGUGAAAGUUUUGAAAAUUAAUGGGUAACAGUUUGAAAAAUGAAUAUCGGAGAGAGAGGGGCUCAAAAGUUGAUGAAUAUUUAAUUGCCACAUUGCUAAAUUUUUUUUGAUGAUUUUGCCUUAAUUUGUAACACCGCAUUUCUAUCUAUUUGGUAUGAAAAGAAGCCCAGGCUUGGGUCGUGAGGAAGAUUGAAAAGUAUGAACACUUUUACUAUGAUACAAAGCGAUGUAUACAGCCGAUUUACACCAUUUUCACAGGCGCAGUUAAAGGCCCUCAUUACAAAAAAUGGCUCCAAAGACAAUUGUGCGGCCUCAAUCGUUGCAAGUUGCAGAAAAAGUUGCGGCGUGUAACACCCCUUACAAAAACGUUUCGCAAUCCAUUCAAUUACCAUUGCGACACAAGUUGUCAUAUCAUUCAAGCUUUGUUGUUCUGCGCAACAGCAUAUCAAUGUCACAUGCUAUUGCCUUUCCAAUAUUACCCUUUUCUUGGUAAUCUCUCUGCCUUUGAAUUUGUUUAUAAUAUUAUCUAAUUUUCAAGCAGUCCGUG